Molecule: ribosomal RNA, 478 nt
Filed under: uncultured bacterium
Lineage: Bacteria
Description: partial 16S ribosomal RNA
Rfam family: Bacterial small subunit ribosomal RNA
Source: RNAcentral
GAUGAACGCUGGCGGCGUGCUUAACACAUGCAAGUCGAACGGGAAUUAUUUUAUUGAAACUUCGGUCGAUUUAAUUUAAUUCUAGUGGCGGACGGGUGAGUAACGCGUGGGUAACCUGCCUUAUACAGGGGGAUAACAGUCAGAAAUGGCUGCUAAUACCGCAUAAGCGCACAGAGCUGCAUGGCUCAGUGUGAAAAACUCCGGUGGUAUAAGAUGGACCCGCGUUGGAUUAGCUGGUUGGUGGGGUAACGGCCCACCAAGGCGACGAUCCAUAGCCGGCCUGAGAGGGUGAACGGCCACAUUGGGACUGAGACACGGCCCAGACUCCUACGGGAGGCAGCAGUGGGGAAUAUUGCACAAUGGGGGAAACCCUGAUGCAGCGACGCCGCGUGAAGGAAGAAGUAUCUCGGUAUGUAAACUUCUAUCAGCAGGGAAGAUAGUGACGGUGCCUGACUAAGAAGCCCCGGCUAACUACGUG